UACAGAGGUCCCAAGCGUUGUUCGGAUUCAUUGGGCGUAAAGGGUGCGUAGGCGGCGCGGUAAGUCGGGUGUGAAAUCUCGGAGCUUAACUCCGAAACUGCAUUCGAUACUGCCGUGCUUGAGGACUGGAGAGGAGACUGGAAUUUACGGUGUAGCGGUGAAAUGCGUAGAUAUCGUAAGGAAGACCAGUGGCGAAGGCGGGUCUCUGGACAGUUCCUGACGCUGAGGCACGAAGGCUAGGGGGGCAAACGGG
RNAcentral lists this ribosomal RNA (253 nucleotides) under uncultured bacterium. RNAcentral describes it as "partial 16S ribosomal RNA". It matches the Rfam family "Bacterial small subunit ribosomal RNA", at positions 524 to 776 of the family's 1533-position model. The record is from RNAcentral.